RNAcentral lists this ribosomal RNA (533 nucleotides) under uncultured Pseudomonadota bacterium. RNAcentral's name for it is "bacterial SSU rRNA". It matches the Rfam family "Bacterial small subunit ribosomal RNA", at positions 8 to 522 of the family's 1533-position model. The record is from RNAcentral. Lineage: Bacteria; Pseudomonadati; Pseudomonadota.
AGAGUUUGAUCAUGGCUCAGAGCGAACGCUGGCGGCGUGCCUAACACAUGCAAGUCGAACGUGAACGGGGCAACCCUAGUAAAGUGGCGUACGGGUGAGUAACGCGUAGGUAAUCUACCCUAUAGUCUGGAAUAACCGGCCGAAAGGCUGGCUAAUACUGGAUAGAGCGACGGGAUCCGUAAAUGGGUCUUUCGGGAAAGGGGGGCAGCAAUGUCUCUCGCUUUAGGAUGAGCCUGCGUCUCAUUAGGUAGUUGGUGGGGUAAUGGCCCACCAAGCCUUUGAUGGGUAGCUGGUCUGAGAGGAUGAUCAGCCACACUGGAACUGAAACACGGUCCAGACUCCUACGGGAGGCAGCAGUGGGGAAUCUUGCGCAAUGGGCGAAAGCCUGACGCAGCCACGCCGCGUGAGUGAAGAAGGCCUUCGGGUUGUAAAGCUCUGUCGCCCGGGACGAAAAGUCGUAUGGCUCAUACCCAUACGAUCUGACGGUACCGGGAAAGGAAGCACCGGCUAACUUCGUGCCAGCAGCCGCGGUA